RNAcentral lists this unclassified non-coding RNA (1704 nucleotides) under Harpegnathos saltator (Jerdon's jumping ant). RNAcentral's name for it is "s-adenosylmethionine mitochondrial carrier protein, transcript variant X3". The record is from RNAcentral. Lineage: Eukaryota; Metazoa; Arthropoda; Insecta; Hymenoptera; Formicidae.
UGAUGAGUCGGUUUGGAGGUUAAGUGGUACCGUGAAGCAGACGACGUUACAUGAUGAUUCACGCGUUUAUAUAAUGUACACUUGUGUGUACUACACGUGUUUUUACCGGUUAGCGCCGGUUUCACUUUCGUAUCUUUUCCUUAAUAAUUAUGAUUUAUAACAUUUAACAAUAAUAAUGAUUUUAACAUUUCACAAGACCGUGAGACGCUCAAAGCGCUUUAUAUCUCCGUUGACAUCAGCUCGAUGACGUUACCAAGUUACCUCAUAGUUCUUCAAAUCUUCACGUCUUCAGUAGAAUCGCUAGAUAAAUCCAAGACAGAGUGUUUCAUCGUGCAAAGAUGUUACACGAAUCGGAGGAAUCAGCGAUCCUCUCAAAGAGUGAUAUCUUACUUACUUCGUUUAUUUCAGGUGCUCUUGCAGGAAUUGUUUGUGACGUGACACUUUUUCCACUGGACACCCUCAAGACACGAUUACAAAGCCAACAUGGAUUUUUCCAAUCUGGAGGCUUUAAGCAGUUAUACAAAGGGAUUGGACCUGUAGUCCUAGGUUCUGCACCAUCAGCUGCUAUAUUUUUUAUUACUUAUGAAGGAAUAAAGCAGCACUCACAACCAUAUAUACCAAAUCAAUAUCAUUCCAUUAUACACAUGAUUGCAGCAUCAUCUUCUGAAGUUACAGCCUGUUUGGUACGAGUGCCAGUGGAAGUAGUUAAACAGAGAAAACAAGCACUGUUGUUAGACACACAUCGACUAGCAUUAAGAACAUUAUAUCGUGGUUACGGGAGCACUGUUCUUCGUGAUAUGCCAUUCGGCUUGAUUCAAAUGCCACUGUGGGAAUACUUCAAGCUUUGUUGGACCCGACAGAUGCACCGGGAAUGCACACCUUUGGAAGGCGCUACUUGCGGCGCCGCGUCAGUUGCCAUAUCGGCUGCCAUAACAACACCGUUGGAUGUCGCAAAAACUAGAAUUAUGCUAUCGAGCACGUCGGCGGAGAAAGAAGAAGUUAAAAUAUCAACGAUGUUAAAAGAGGUUUACAAAGACCAUGGCGUUAAAGGGCUAUUUGCUGGCUUUACCCCAAGGGUAACCGGCUUUACUAUUGGUGGAUUUAUAUUCUUUGGUAUUUAUGAGAAAGCCAGGGAAUUUUGUAUAUCCCACUUUACUCGAUAGCUCAUGACGCUCUGAUAAAUAACUGAAUUAGAACAAAAUUAAAUUUUAUUAAAUUACCAAAUUUUAUGAAUGUGUACACGUGAGAAUACACAGGCGCAUUCUUAUAAUUGCCAUAUCGCGCAAAAAUAUGUUCUGCUGGGAUUUGAAUCAAAAGGUACAAGAAAAUUUCAAGGAAAGUUUGAAAAGAAAAAGACGUCACACGUUUUUGCUAUUUAAAGAUAUUACAGUUAAAUAAAAGCACGAUACGCAUGCACACGCGCAUUUCUCAAUUGCAUACUCAGUCUACUUUAAUUAUACAAAAUCUUAAUACAUCUUUUUGGAGGUACUAAUUGUUAUUAACACUAUUUACAAUUUUACGUAUUCAUACAUGUUAUGCAGUUUUAAUAAGAUUAUGGAUACUAAAGUUUGUAACUAUCAAAAUAACUAUAAAAGGUACUGAAAAAAAUACCCUAGUCCUUGACAAUACAUAAGAACGUAUUCUGGUUGUCAUAAUUAUCACAGCAAAAAUCUGAAGGAGAAUAAACGAUGAGGAUAAAUAUCA